This is a non-coding RNA of Vicugna pacos (alpaca), 82 nucleotides long. The record is from RefSeq and is a predicted model, not a curated record. NCBI's taxonomy places the organism in Eukaryota, Metazoa, Chordata, Mammalia, Artiodactyla, Camelidae.
CCUGGUAUAAUGCUGUCAGUCAUAAUUCCAGUUGUUAUCUUAAAAGGUUGUAUGUCACAGCAACUUGAAUAAGCUUCUGUGU